RNAcentral lists this ribosomal RNA (253 nucleotides) under uncultured bacterium. Its description in RNAcentral is "partial 16S ribosomal RNA". It matches the Rfam family "Bacterial small subunit ribosomal RNA", at positions 524 to 776 of the family's 1533-position model. The record is from RNAcentral.
UACGGAGGGUGCAAGCGUUGUUCGGAUUUAUUGGGCUUAAAGGGCGCGUAGGCGGCUGUUUAAGUCAGUGGUGAAAGACUCCGGCUCAACCGGAGCAGUGCCAUUGAUACUGGAUAGCUAGAGUAUUGGAGGGGUACAUGGAAUUGAUGGUGUAGCGGUGAAAUGCAUAGAUACCAGCAGGAACACCGAUAGCGAAGGCAGUGUACUGGCCAAUAACUGACGCUGAUGCGCGAAAGCAUGGGUAGCGAACAGG